UACGGGGGGUGCAAGCGUUAAUCGGAGUAACUGGGCGUAAAGGGCACGCAGGCGGACUUUUAAGUGAGAUGUGAAAGCCCCGGGCUUAACCUGGGAAUUGCAUUUCAGACUGGGAGUCUAGAGUACUUUAGGGAGGGGUAGAAUUCCACGUGUAGCGGUGAAAUGCGUAGAGAUGUGGAGGAAUACCGAAGGCGAAGGCAGCCCCUUGGGAAUGUACUGACGCUCAUGUGCGAAAGCGUGGGGAGCAAAC
Molecule: ribosomal RNA, 250 nt
Filed under: uncultured prokaryote
Description: partial 16S ribosomal RNA
Rfam family: Bacterial small subunit ribosomal RNA
Source: RNAcentral